Molecule: long non-coding RNA, 1209 nt
Filed under: Felis catus (domestic cat)
Lineage: Eukaryota; Metazoa; Chordata; Mammalia; Carnivora; Felidae
Description: lncRNA (ENSFCAG00000049107.1)
Source: RNAcentral
AUGUCCCCCGCGCAGCGCGACAGGUCGGCGAGCUGCGCCAGCAGGCAGACCAGGGCGUGCGAGCUGACCUGCUCCAGCGAGCGGAAGAGCGGCGCGCCCGCGGCCCCGGCCGCCUCGGGCCGGCGCAGCCGCGCGGGCUCCACGGUCCUCUGGUGGAAGGGCAUGGCGAGGGGCGGGGGGCCCGGGUUCGCGGCGCCGCGGGCCGCCCGGGGCGAGCGCAGCCCUCAGUCCACCCCCCGUCGGCGCGGGGCGCGAGUGCGCAUCCAACACAAAGGAAAGUCCGGGCAGCGGCGGGGCGCCGAGGGGCUGCCCCGGUGGCUCCUGCCACGGGGAGGAGGCGAGGCGGGCAGGAAGGACCGACCGACGGACGCGCGGGCGGCCGGGCGGGCGGGGGAGCCCGGGCGGCCGCGGGGAAGGGCUCCGGAGGGUCGCGGCCGCGGCUGCCUGGGGCCCGGCCGCGUCCUCCCACCGCCGGGGUGCGCGGGGCCGCGCGGCGAAAGGAAGUUCAAGGAGCAGCUCCUGGGCGCGGGGCGCGGUGGCCACGGCGGCGAGUGGAGACGGGAGUCCCGCUCAAGUUUGCAGGGAGGCAGGAAAGAGCCGGCGGCUCCUUCCCUCCCUCCCGAUUGGAGAGGGAGGAGGAAGCGGGGGAAGUGCCGCCGACACCGGGCGCGAGGGAGGGGAGGCGAAAGAAAGGAAAGGGGGAGGAGAAAAGGGCCGGCCCGGGGAACCACCUGCGGCUCUCGCGGCCGCCGCGCCCAGCGCCUGAGGGGAGGCGGCGGCCCCGCGCCCCAGCGGGGCUCGCCGCGGCGGCCCGGGGCGCACGGUCCGGGGGCUCCCAGCUCGCCGCCCCGCUUCCCUCCAAAGCCCACGGGCGUUUGGGCAGAGCCCUCGCCCGCCCCCGGGGCCCGGCGCGGGGAGGGGUGGAGCGCAGCGCGGGCGCCGCGGAGGCGGAGGCGCCGGGGACGGCGCGGCGAACCCCGCUCGGGCUGCUCACCUGCGCUCCGGCCCGCGGCGGCCGUGAGUCAGGCGCGCCCCGCCGCGCGAGGAACGCUCGGGGCCUCCGAGGGUCCCCCGGGCUCUCCCAGCCCCACCUUGGAAGUCGGCCAAGGCUUCUGGCGGCUUGGGUGGACCCGAAGGAGAACAUCAUUAAAUCGCACAGCGGCCAGGGGGUUCUGUAGCCGACUAGGAGUCCGAGUCCCCAUCCGAUAA